CCUACGGGCGGCUGCAGUGAGGAAUAUUGGUCAAUGGACGAGAGUCUGAACCAGCCAAGUAGCGUGAAGGAUGACUGCCCUAUGGGUUGUAAACUUCUUUUGUAAAGGAGUAAAACGAGGCACGUGUGCCUUGUUGCAUGGACUUAAUGAAUAAGGAUCGGCGAACUACGUUCCAGGAGCCACGGGAAUACCUAGGGGUCAAGGGGUAUCCGGAGUUACUGGGGGUAAGGGGGGCGUAGACGGCAGCACAAGUCUGGAGUGAAAGGCGGGGGCUUAACCCCUGAACUGCUUUGGAAACUGUCGGGCUGGAGUGCUGGAGAGGUAAGCGGAAUUCCUAGUGUAGCGGUGAAAUGCGUAGAUAUUAGGAGGAACACCGGUGGCGAAGGCGGCUUACUGGACUGUAACUGACGUUGAGGCUCGAAAGCGUGGGGAGCAAACAGGAUUAGAUACCCGAGUAGUC
RNAcentral lists this ribosomal RNA (460 nucleotides) under uncultured bacterium. RNAcentral describes it as "partial 16S ribosomal RNA". It matches the Rfam family "Bacterial small subunit ribosomal RNA", at positions 338 to 795 of the family's 1533-position model. The record is from RNAcentral.